CCUACGGGUGGCAGCAGUGAGGACUAUUGGUCAAUGGACGAGAGUCUGAACCAGCCAAGUCGCGUGAAGGAUGACUGCCCUAUGGGUUGUAAACUUCUUUUAUAAAGGAAUAAAACGAGGCACGUGUGCCUUUUUGCAUGUACUUUAUGAAUAAGGCUCGGCUAACUCCGUGCCAGCAGCCGCGGUAAUACGGAGGAUCCGAGCGUUAUCCGGAUUUAUUGGGUUUAAAGGGAGCGUAGAUGGGGUGUUAAGUCAGUUGUGAAAGUUUGCGGCUCAACCGUAGGAGUGCAAUUGAUACUGGCAGUCGUGAGUACAGUUGAGGUAGGCGGAAUUCGUGGUGUAGCGGGGAAAUGCUUAGAUAUCACGAAGAACCCCGAUUGCGAAGGCAGCUUACUAAACUGUGACUGACAUUGAUGCACGAAAGUGUGGGUAUCAAACAGGAUUAGAUACCCGGGUAGUC
This 460-nucleotide ribosomal RNA is filed under the name uncultured bacterium. RNAcentral describes it as "partial 16S ribosomal RNA". It matches the Rfam family "Bacterial small subunit ribosomal RNA", at positions 338 to 795 of the family's 1533-position model. The record is from RNAcentral.